GCUGUAGCUUAAUGGUAGAGCAUUUGCUUUGUCUGCAAAACGUUGUAGGUUCAAUCCCCAGCAUCUCCA
Molecule: non-coding RNA, 69 nt
Organism: Podarcis lilfordi (Lilford's wall lizard)
Lineage: Eukaryota; Metazoa; Chordata; Lepidosauria; Squamata; Lacertidae
Source: the annotation of a GenBank genome assembly